RNAcentral lists this ribosomal RNA (449 nucleotides) under uncultured bacterium. Its description in RNAcentral is "partial 16S ribosomal RNA". It matches the Rfam family "Bacterial small subunit ribosomal RNA", at positions 29 to 523 of the family's 1533-position model. The record is from RNAcentral.
AACGAACGCUGGCGGCAGGCUUAACACAUGCAAGUCGAACGCAUCCUUCGGGGUGAGUGGCAGACGGGUGAGUAACGCGUGGGAACGUGCCCUUCAGUUCGGGAUAACCCAGGGAAACUUGGGCUAAUACCGGAUACGUGCGAGAGCAGAAAGAUUUAUCGCUGAAGGAUCGGCCCGCGUCUGAUUAGCUAGUUGGUGGGGUAAUGGCCCACCAAGGCGACGAUCAGUAGCUGGUCUGAGAGGAUGAUCAGCCACAUUGGGACUGAGACACGGCCCAAACUCCUACGGGAGGCAGCAGUGGGGAAGAUUGGACAAUGGGCGCGAGCCUGUUCCAGCCAUGCCGCGUGAGUGAUGAAGGCCUUAGGGUUGUAAAGCUCUUUCGUCCGGGACGAUAAUGACGGUACCGGAAGAAGAAGCCCCGGCUAACUUCGUGCCAGCCGCCGCGGUAA